Molecule: ribosomal RNA, 1135 nt
Filed under: uncultured Pyronemataceae
Lineage: Eukaryota; Fungi; Ascomycota; Pezizomycetes; Pezizales; Pyronemataceae
Description: eukaryotic LSU rRNA
Rfam family: Eukaryotic large subunit ribosomal RNA (bases 558-1135)
Source: RNAcentral
AGGAUCAUUAGUAUUCAAUAUACAAUUUUAAACCACUCUGUGUAUCUUUCCUGUUGCUUCCGUGAGGCGUCCGGUUCAUUGUGACCGGCCAACUGCAAAGGUUAUCCCGAGUUCACCUUUGGUGGCCUUGUACCAACCUGAGCGGUUAGUAUUCACGGAAGGUUUAUGGCAAACAUUUUUGCAUUGUUUAUUCCGUCCGAAAUUUGUUAAAAACAAAUAUGAAAACUUUCAACAACGGAUCUCUUGGUUCUCGCAUCGAUGAAGAACGCAGCGAAAUGCGAUAAGUAGUGUGAAUUGCAGAAUUCAGUGAAUCAUCGAAUCUUUGAACGCACAUUGCGCCUCCUGGUAUUCCGGGAGGCAUGCCUGUUCGAGCGACUUUAGAAAAACAUCAGACAAUUAAUGUUUGGUUGUGGGUCUGGAGGUGGGAACAACUGUUUCCCCUCCUUCCUGAAAUUAAAUGGCAAAUUGUCCGGUUUGUAUCGAAGCGUGAUAAGUUAAAACCUUUCGCUUUGCAAACCACUCACUAUCGCCUUCAACCUCAAAUUUUUUCCAGUCUUUGUCCUCGAAUCAGGUAGGGAUACCCGCUGAACUUAAGCAUAUCAAUAAGCGGAGGAAAAGAAACCAACAGGGAUUGCCUUAGUAACUGCGAGUGAAGCGGCAAAAGCUCAAAUUUGAAAUCUGACGUAUUUUGCGUCCGAAUUGUAAUUUGGAGGGGCAUCUUCGAGGUUGGAACCACGCGAAGUUCCUUGGAACAGGUCAUCAGAGAGGGUGAGAAUCCCGUGCCUGACGUGGUUAUCCGCUUCAUGUGAAGUGCCUCCGACGAGUCGAGUUGUUUGGGAAUGCAGCUCAAAAUGGGUGGUAAAUUUCAUCUAAAGCUAAAUAUUGGCGAGAGACCGAUAGCGCACAAGUAGAGUGAUCGAAAGAUGAAAAGCACUUUGAAAAGAGAGUUAAAAAGUACGUGAAAUUGUUGAAAGGGAAGCGCUUGAGACCAGACUCAGCCUUAGGCAAUCAGCUGUGCUUCUGUACAGUGUAUGAGCCUAGGUUGGGCCAGCAUCGGUUUUGGUGGCAGGAUAAAGGGAUGAGGAAUGUGGCUUCCUUUGGGGAGUGUUAUAGCCUUAUUCGAAAUGCUGCCUGC